Clostridium sp. MSTE9 is the source of this 350-nucleotide non-coding RNA. The record is from Rfam. NCBI's taxonomy places the organism in Bacteria, Bacillati, Bacillota, Clostridia, Eubacteriales, Clostridiaceae.
GGGGAUGCAAUGGUUUCGACGGGGGUUGUGAGCCUAAGUAAGCGAGUAGCGGUGCGGAACCGCUAUAAAAUCCGCAAACUUAAAAUUAAACGACAACAAUAAAGUUGCAUUAGCAGCCUAAUUUAGGCUGCUCGUUCUUACCGGGAGUACCGCGGCCCGGAUAAGGGCGUCAUUUAGCGGUGAACAUGAACCGGGCUACGCCUUUAACCCGGUCAUGGCUUAAAGGCUACUGAUGCACAGAGCCUGCCGACGGGCGCUGUGCGGAGGGAACGUUAAAACACCGGCUACACUCGUAGAAAGCUUUGGUAGGCGGUCUUCGGACAGGAGUUCGAUUCUCCUCAUCUCCACCA